Tympanuchus pallidicinctus (lesser prairie-chicken) is the source of this 171-nucleotide long non-coding RNA. RefSeq lists it as uncharacterized. The record is from RefSeq and is a predicted model, not a curated record. The transcript is spliced from 3 exons. Lineage: Eukaryota; Metazoa; Chordata; Aves; Galliformes; Phasianidae.
GCUGUGGGAGUUGCGCCUGGAGAAGUCUGCAAGUAGACCUCAUUGCAGUCUUCCAGUAUUUAAAAGGGAGCUAUAAAAAAGAGGGGAAUCAACUUUUUACUUGGUGUAUCAGGAAAAGAAAUCCCAUUGCCAUCUGUUUUCAAGAAAAGGAUGACCUGGGAAACUACCGAC